Mugil cephalus (flathead mullet) is the source of this 850-nucleotide long non-coding RNA. RefSeq lists it as uncharacterized. NCBI's taxonomy places the organism in Eukaryota, Metazoa, Chordata, Actinopteri, Mugiliformes, Mugilidae. The transcript is spliced from 3 exons. The record is from RefSeq and is a predicted model, not a curated record.
GUCUGAAUGAGUUUUUGGUUGUUGUAGUUUCUUGUUUUCAUCAGCAGGGCGCGCAAUUUCACUCACAUAAGCACUAGUCGCGCUCUUAGCUACCGUGUUUGUUCUGCUGGGUUGUUUGUUUUUUCUUGCACUGAUGCCGACGAGAGCAGACGCACUACGGCUGAGAGAGAGCAUGUUAAUGUUAAAAACUCGAUGAAACGUGAUUAAAACUUUAUUUCAUUUUUGAGUAAAUUGUUUUUGGGUGCUGGACAACACUGUGUCAUCGUGUUUUGUGAGAAGAAAAACUCCGGUUGUUGUUUUGUAUGAGUGGAUUGUGAUGGAGCCAGAGCCCGGACCAGAGGGACGUGGAGCAGUAAACCUGCUUACAUGCGUGGAGGGUGUAACGUCGGAGGCAGAUUCAUCGCGCAUCUGGAGCUCAUCUACCACAUCAUACAGAUGAGAAACAAAACCACACUACCCGGCAUGUUUGGAUUGCUGCUGCUGCUGCUGGUGGUGGUGGCCCCUCUCCCCUUCACUCCCCCACCCCUGUAGGCCUCUCUGACAGUCACCCUGUACUGGUAAAUGUUUCAGUGUAGUGACAUUUUAGCAUAUAGAAAUACUUUUACAAUAAUAUGGCUUUAUUGUUAAGCUAAGUCCUCCUACUAUUUAACUGAUGUGAGAUUUACUUACGUAAAUAAAAACUGAAAAUUGUUCAAUACUAGAAAUUCACCUCUCUGCUCCUCUUUUCCUCUUAAAACAUAAGAACUUGUAUUCAGUGUGGUAUUCUCUGUGUGGAAGUCCCAGAGUGGCGUUGUUGCAUUGUCAGAGGUGUAUAGCUAUAACUGUAAUAAAGCUGGUUCUGUUUCUGACU